UUACUUAGUGGCUGAAAUGUAAGUAAUGGUCUCUUAAACCAAUGUAUAAUAUAUUAACGAAUAUUCUAAGUA
RNAcentral lists this transfer RNA (72 nucleotides) under Paracarsidara gigantea. RNAcentral's name for it is "tRNA-Lys". The record is from RNAcentral. Lineage: Eukaryota; Metazoa; Arthropoda; Insecta; Hemiptera; Carsidaridae.